RNAcentral lists this non-coding RNA (85 nucleotides) under Enterocloster asparagiformis. Its description in RNAcentral is "Clostridium asparagiforme Fluoride sequence". It matches the Rfam family "Fluoride riboswitch aptamer (crcB RNA motif)". Lineage: Bacteria; Bacillati; Bacillota; Clostridia; Lachnospirales; Lachnospiraceae. The record is from RNAcentral.
CAGCGCAAAGGGAAUGAGGUUCUCCCGUGGCGAAAGCCAGAACCGCUUGUAAGGCAGAUUAUGAGCUGAUGACUUCUGUGAUGAU